This 736-nucleotide ribosomal RNA is filed under the name uncultured organism. RNAcentral's name for it is "bacterial SSU rRNA". It matches the Rfam family "Bacterial small subunit ribosomal RNA", at positions 79 to 792 of the family's 1533-position model. The record is from RNAcentral.
UGGUGGAGCUAGUAAACUGGCGGACGGGUGAGUAACGCGUAGGUAAGCUGCCUAUAAGCCCUGGAUAAGGUUGCUAACGCGGUGCUAAUACGGGAUGUGGCAUUAUAUAUUAUGUAAAUAAUGUUAAAGCGGGCCUCUCGAAGAAGCUCGUACUUAUAGAUGGACCUGCGUCUCAUUAGCUAGUCGGUGAGGUAACGGCUCACCAAGGCGACGAUGGGUAGCCGGCCUGAGAGGGCGAUCGGCCACACUGGGACUGAGAUACGGCCCAGACUCCUACGGGAGGCAGCAGUGAGGAAUCUUGCGCAAUGGGCGAAAGCCUGACGCAGCAACGCCGCGUGUGGGAAGAAGCUUUUCGGAGUGUAAACCACUGUUAGGAGGGACGAAGGUUAGAUAUUCGAACAGGGUAUUUGAUUGACGGUACCUCCAGAGGAAGCCCCGGCUAACUCCUGUGCCAGCAGCCGCGGUAACACGGGGGGGGCGAGCGUUGUCCGGAAUCAUUGGGCGUAAAGGGCGCGUAGGCGGGAUAAUCAGUCUGUGGUGGAAGCUUGAGGCUUAACCUCAAGUUUGCCUUGGAUACUGUUAUUCUUGAGUACGGGAGAGGGAAGUGGAAUUCCUGGUGUAGCGGUGAAAUGCGUAGAUAUCAGGAAGAACACCGGUGGCGAAGGCGGCUUCCUGGUCCGAAACUGACGCUGAGGCGCGAAAGCGUGGGUAGCGAACAGGAUUAGAUACCCUGGUA